Zonotrichia leucophrys gambelii is the source of this 245-nucleotide long non-coding RNA. RefSeq lists it as uncharacterized. The record is from RefSeq and is a predicted model, not a curated record. The transcript has 2 exons. Lineage: Eukaryota; Metazoa; Chordata; Aves; Passeriformes; Passerellidae.
CAGGGUUAUCCCAUUAAUCUUCACUCUGAGAGAGGAGUCAUCCAACCUACCAGCUCACAGCUCAUUUCCUCCAGGUCCCAGCAGACAACCAGUCUUUCCAGGAGCUUCUUUCUCUGACUUCUCUUGGAGCAACACUGGCAUCAGGAAAACCAAUCUGCUAGAAGCUGGAGAAAAUGUUGACAGAAGAUUAAAUGGAUAUUAAGUCUCUAGAAAUAAAUGCAGAUGGCAAAUUAAAAACAAAGAAA